RNAcentral lists this transfer RNA (77 nucleotides) under subsurface metagenome. RNAcentral describes it as "tRNA-Ser". It matches the Rfam family "tRNA". From Rfam's summary of the family: Transfer RNA (tRNA) molecules are approximately 80 nucleotides in length. Their secondary structure includes four short double-helical elements and three loops (D, anti-codon, and T loops). Further hydrogen bonds mediate the characteristic L-shaped molecular structure. tRNAs have two regions of fundamental functional importance: the anti-codon, which is responsible for specific mRNA codon recognition, and the 3' end, to which the tRNAs corresponding amino acid is attached (by aminoacyl-tRNA synthetases). tRNAs cope with the degeneracy of the genetic code in two manners: having more than one tRNA (with a specific anti-codon) for a particular amino acid; and 'wobble' base-pairing, i.e. permitting non-standard base-pairing at the 3rd anti-codon position. The record is from RNAcentral.
GCCCCUGUAACUCAGAUGGAUUAGAGUGUCGGACUGCUAAUCUGAAAGUCGGGAGUUCGAAUCUCCCCAGGGGCACC